RNAcentral lists this ribosomal RNA (2494 nucleotides) under human gut metagenome. RNAcentral's name for it is "bacterial LSU rRNA". It matches the Rfam family "Bacterial large subunit ribosomal RNA", at positions 1 to 2518 of the family's 2925-position model. The record is from RNAcentral.
UAAAGCAAGAAAGGGCGUAUGGGGAAUGCCUAGGCACACUCCGGCGAAGAAGGACGCAGCAAACAGCGAAAUGCGACGGUGAGCGGUAAGCACGUGAAGAGCCGUCGAUAUCCGAAUGGGGGAACCCACACGGAGUCAUAUCCGUGUAUCACAUGUCGAAUACAUAGACAUGAUGAGGCGAGACGCAGGGAACUGAAACAUCUAAGUACCUGCAGGAAGAGAAAAUAAGAAUGAUUUUCUGAGUAGCGGCGAGCGAAAGGGAAAGAGCCCAAACCGAUUUGAGGAUCGGGGUAGUAGGAUCAUCGAUAAAUCAAACAGAGGAUCAUAGAGGAAUCACAUGGGAAGGUGAGCGAGAGAGGGUGAGAGCCCCGUACUCGAAAUGAGAGACUGGAGAGAGAUGACACCUGAGUAGGGCGGGACACGAGAAAUCCUGUCUGAAUCAGCCGGGACCAUCCGGCAAGGCUAAAUACGAGAGAGUGACCGAUAGUGAACCAGUACCGUGAGGGAAAGGUGAAAAGAACCCCGGGAGGGGAGUGAAAGAGAACCUGAAACCAUAUGCCUACAAGAAGUCAGAGCCCGUUAAAGGGUGAUGGCGUGCCUUUUGUAGAAUGAACCGGCGAGUUACUGUAUGGAGCGAGGUUAAGCAGGAUAUGCGGAGCCGAAGCGAAAGCGAGUCUUAAGAGGGCGCGAGUUGCAUGCAGUAGACCCGAAACCGGGUGAUCUAGCCAUGACCAGGUUGAAGUUGGGGUAAAACCCGAUGGAGGACCGAACCGACCCCCGUUGAAACGUUGGCGGAUGAGUUGUGGCUAGGGGUGAAAUUCCAAUCGAACCCGGAGAUAGCUGGUUCUCCCCGAAAUAGCUUUAGGGCUAGCGUCGAGAGAAGAGUUGCGUGAAGGUAGAGCACUGAAUAUGUGAUGGCCCCAUCUCGGGGUACUGAGCAUAAUCAAACUGCGAAUGUCACGCCAACAUGCUCGGCAGUCAGACAGCGGGUGAUAAGGUCCGUUGUCAAGAGGGAAACAGCCCAGACCAUCAGCUAAGGUCCCAAAAUGUAUGCUAAGUGGAAAAGGAUGUGGAGAUGUACAGACAACUAGGAGGUUGGCUCAGAAGCAGCCAUCCUUUAAAGAGUGCGUAACAGCUCACUAGUCGAAUGACUCUGCGCCGAUAAUUUACCGGGGCUAAGCAUACUACCGAAGCUAUGGAUCCCAAGGGAUGGUAGGGGAGCGUUCCAUGAACGGAGAAGUACGACCGAAAGGACGUGUGGAGAUCAUGGAAGAGAGAAUGCCGGUGUGAGUAGCGGAACGUGGGUGAGAAUCCCACGCACCGAAAACCCAAGGUUUCCAGAGGAAGGUUCGUCCGCUCUGGGUAAGUCGGGACCUAAGGCGAGGCCGAAAGGCGUAGUCGAUGGACAACAGGUAGAGAUUCCUGUACCCGUAUAUAUGUGAAGGAAUGACGGAGAGAGGAAGCUGCAGCCAGCGGCUGGAAGAGCUGGUGCAAGCGAGAUAUCGGGAUGGCAGGCAAAUCCACCAUCCGAAACGAGAAGGCGUGAAGCGUACGGAAAGCUACGGCGAGUACGGAAGGCAGUGGAGGAACUUCCAAGAAAAGUUUCUAACGUUAAGUAUAUAUGGCCCGUACCGAAAAUGGACACACAUGGGUGAGGAGAGAAUCCUAAGGUGAGCGAGAGAACUAUAGCUAAGGAACUCUGCAAAAUGACUCCGUAACUUAGGGAGAAGGAGUGCUCAUAGAGAUAUGAGCCGCAGUGAAACGGCCCAAGCGACUGUUUACCAAAAACACAGCUCUCUGCUAAGCCGCAAGGCGAAGUAUAGGGGGUGACGCCUGCCCGGUGCUGGAAGGUUAAGGGGAGGGGUUAACGCAAGUGAAGCCCUGAACUGAAGCCCCAGUAAACGGCGGCCGUAACUAUAACGGUCCUAAGGUAGCGAAAUUCCUUGUCAGGUAAGUUCUGACCCGCACGAAAGGCGUAACGAUUUGGGCGCUGUCUCAGCUGUAGACUCGGUGAAGUCUUAGUACCUGUGAAGAUGCAGGUUACCCGCGACUAGACGGAAAGACCCCAUGGAGCUUCACUGCAGGUUGAUAUUGGGAUUUGAUGCAGCAUGUACAGGAUAGGUAGGAGGCAAAGAGAUGGAUACGCCAGUAUUCAAGGAGCCGCUGUUGGGAUACUACCCCUGUUGUAUUGGAUUUCUAACCGGACGACGUAGAGCCGUUGACGGGACAGUGUCAGUCGGGCAGUUUGACUGGGGCGGUCGCCUCCCAAAGAGUAACGGAGGCGCCCAAAGAUACCCUCAGCUUGGAUGGAAACCAAGCGCAGAGUGCAAAGGCAAAAGGGUGUUUGACUGCGAGACCCACAAGUCGAGCAGGGACGAAAGUCGGGCUUAGUGAUCCGGCGGUGCUGAAUGGAAAGGCCGUCGCUCAACGGAUAAAAGCUACCCUGGGGAUAACAGGCUGAUCUCCCCCAAGAGUCCACAUCGACGGGGAGGUU